AUCACAAAAUCACAGAAAAGACUGCCGACGUCUUCAGCAGACAACCUACAUAAUGAGGCGAAGUCUAAAAAGUGAACACUGUUUAAAAUAUUUCUGAUUUUUUUUUCUUAUUAUUUUUAUAUGUCCUGCCCAGCAGUGUGGCACAAAAAAAAAAAAGAUGUUCUAGUGUGAAGGUGAGGCCCAACAGAUUCACUUUCACAACGGCUCUCACCAUCAUGCUCCACUUGAUGCAUAUAUGAAACUUUACUAGAAAUCUCUCUGCGGGUUUCUCAAAUGUAAUGGAAAAGUCUGCCUCUAAACCUGCAGAGAGAGAGAGAAAACAAAACCUAGAAACCACGACAACAAUCAACAUACACAUAAAUGUUAACAUUUCUAACAUCAUUGGAAAGUACGCAGCACAUGGAUGUACGCUGGCAUGCAUCUACACACAUUGUGCUUAACAAUUUAAACUUAUAAUGCCCUAACUCUUUCUUUUUCAUUUCAAAUGGCGAAUAUAAACACAGCCACACUGAGAUGAGUGGGUGGGUGUCCCAGUGUGGACAGUCUGUCUAUCAGCAAACACUGUUUUAUGCUGAUAAGUCUCAGGCCUCCCACAGCAUGAAAAGCCUCGGUAGUUUCCUAAAACCAAAAACAGAGGUUAAUGGUGUGAGUUACAGAGAACCACAACUCUUGGCAACAAAACAGAAUCGGCACAAAUACAUAAAAAAAAAAACAUGCUGAAAAACACAUUAUAGUACCUAUUAGUUUCAGUUCAAAUGUGGGGGGAAAAAAUGAGUUUUUUUGGAACAAAUUCCUGCCCAGGUCAGAGAGACAAUGUGUUUGUUGUUAAGAGAGAAUCUUGCAUUGCAGAAAUAUCGCUUGGCUACACCCAAGCUUAAGAAAGUCAAGUUCAAAUACACCGAGAAGUCUACGUGUGAGUACAGUCCGAGUUUGGACUGUAUUCCAGUCCGAAUGUGGAGUGGGUCCGUUUUGCAUUCGAUUGAAUCAGAUUUUGAAUAUAACUGGAAUAAAAAGGUGUAGGAUUGAGAUGUGAUUGGUGAUCAGGUUUUGGUAGUUGUUUCACACUUUGAAGCUGACAGAUAUAUAUAUAAAAAAAAAAAAGCUGCAUCACUUUCCCAGACUCUGCUGUGUUUGUUUGUUGCUCUCCUCAUGCUUUGAUUUGACUGUUUUUCUUCUGUUUCUGUGUAAAACUCCAGACUGAUCUUCAUGUCAUUUCUCGCUUCCUCCUCCAAGCUUUUCCAUCUCAGUAUAAUUUAGAUGGGACUCUUUAGGUUAGGUUACAUUUUGUGUUUAUUAUUCCAGGUUUUGUUUGUGAAUCCUCACUGUGAUUAAUCAUGGAUAUAAUCAUCAUUGCAAUUAUUUUCGAUAAAUGUAAAUAAUCGCACUCGUAUCAAAAUAAGUGCAACUGAUCGUUUAUUUUGAGACUCGUGCAUUUCUAAAAACUAGACUUUCAUCAAAUAUUUAACCAAGCUUCUACAUGCCACAUUCCAGAUGCUAAAUGGAUAAAUAAAUAUUGAAGUGGAAAAGACGGCGUUGGAAAGCAGCACUUUUACCUUUCACCCUUUUCUCACACCGUUAAAAGUACAUUUCUACGCCUGCAGCCCUCAUUAGUCAAAUCCCUUCCCUGACAUUCCUCAGAUAAAAAAAAGGCAAGAAAAUUUGAAAUAUAGAUGUCUAAUUAACUUCAUCCUUACUUUGAACUGUUAGCAUGACAUUCAUAAGUCUGCUAACUACUGAAUUUGGCAUUCCCUGGUGGAUUUGCAGCGGUAGCCUGGUGUAAAAGCAGCGCUCCGCGGUUAGCGGUGCAGCGACAGACCACAUCAAAGCUUCCCCCUGCUGAAGGACUCGGUGUUUGAAGUCAGGCGGAUUUGGAUCCCUUUGAGAUGCAUCAUCAUUUACCAUUGAUGACUGUUUAUUACUGCGGCAGAGAUAAGGGAACGUCUGCUUCGGAGUGCCUGACAAGCCGCUUCAGACCGUUGUCCGCGUGUGAACUGAGCUGACGGAGUCCUGGAACUUUUGCUGGAUCAUAUUUUUGAUAGACUCUGUGAUCGUUCGGAGCAUGUCCUUGACCGUAUGCCCCUGGAUCUGGAUUUCCUGGACUUUAUCUGCACUCUAGAACUAAUUUUUUUAAAUGCCAUGUCUUGUCAGAUAGAUGUUCCUUCAAAUAUUUUGGAUGCGUCAGCUCAUUUGCACAGACUAAUUAAUUUAGAAAAACAAAGUGAAGAACAACAAACAACUGUUGUGCAUAUUGAGCAAGGACCAGCUGGGCGACAACGGAUGGUCAUAUCCUCAGACUACCUUUGCAGUCUUUUAGAACUCCAUCUCCCUGUCCCAUGCAUCGCCAAACUCUUGGGUAUAUCUAGACGGACUGUAUAUCGACGGAUGGCAGAAUCUGGUCUUUCAGUGAGGGCAUUAUACACCACCAUGUCAGAUGAUGACUUAGACCAAUGUGUGAGAGAGACAUUAGAUCCAGGCAGCCUCACUCUGGGUACCGAAUGGUAAAGGCCCUUCUGCAAGCCAGAGGACUGAGGAGCUACAAUCUAAAGCCAACUUCAGCUUCGAUCCAGAAUCAGUUAGGAUCGCCGCCACAGCUAGAGGAUCGGACUGACGUUUCCGUCUGUGCAGUCCCGUUCUGUUUAGGAUCCUGCUCAGAGUGUGCCUGCUAUUAUUGGUUUCAACCACAGUGCAAAGCAGCAUCAGUAUCUCCGUGUUUUAGACUAAACAUGAAGGGAAACUUGACCAAGUCCUGUUAGCCACUGUACUAGCCUGGCAUAAUACCGCCACUUCCUGGACAUAAAAUUAUCAUGUUUAUACAAGAUGCGUAUCAUGUUUUAACAAGAUAACUAUCACGUUUUAAUAAGAUACGUAUGACGUUAUAACGUGAUAGCGCUCGAUUUUUUUCCCCUGGAUUAAAUAGCAAUAAGCUUCCGUACCAGUUUCAAAAUUCACCAUUUAUGAAAUGUAAAGCAAAAUGCUGAUCAUGUUACCACAAAGGUGAAUUUUAGUGUCUUUAUGGUAGACAUGUUUAAGAACUAAAAUGUUCUAAAUUUGUAAUUUGAUUGUUUUUUCUUUACUCAAAAGGAACCUAGUAGGUACAUUUGUACAUUGUUCUAGGACUUUACAUUUCUUGCAUUAUAAGAAUCAGAAAAAAGUUUUGUUUGUCUUAUGUAAUUUAUUUUCUAAUACUUCAAGCAUAUAUGAACUCAUCUAAGUACAUUCAAUAAAAUUUUGCAUAAAAAAC
Xiphophorus hellerii (green swordtail) is the source of this 3241-nucleotide long non-coding RNA. RefSeq lists it as uncharacterized. NCBI's taxonomy places the organism in Eukaryota, Metazoa, Chordata, Actinopteri, Cyprinodontiformes, Poeciliidae. The record is from RefSeq and is a predicted model, not a curated record. The transcript has 2 exons.